Molecule: long non-coding RNA, 461 nt
Filed under: Triticum aestivum (bread wheat)
Lineage: Eukaryota; Viridiplantae; Streptophyta; Magnoliopsida; Poales; Poaceae
Description: long non-coding RNA (TAES_LNC001644)
Source: RNAcentral
GAUCUAAUAAAAAGUUCACAUCAUUGAAGUUCAUAUGAACAUCAAUUCACUAUAACUACCUUUCUGGGCGGGUCGCUUCCCUCUCGUGUAAACCGCAGCCACCGCCCAGCGCCGCCGCCUUCCUCUUCUCUCCUGAGCACUUGCCACCGACCUCCGUGCCCUCGCCUCUCGCCUCCGGCCUCAGUGCGAACAUAAAUUCACUGUAACUACCUUUCUCGGCGGGUUGGUGGAUGGAGCAGAUGGCUUCGGUGGAAUGAAUUUGACAAAUGAAUCAACCUUCCUCUACAAAUAAGGAAGUUUCGUUCAUUCAUUUGAAAAACAGCAGCAGCAGUGUAUGUAGCAUCUUGAUCCAUGGAAGAAGGUGGGGGAGCAGGAAGGGACCUUGUGCGUGGGGUAGUCGUGGCCGUGGUCGGGCUAGACGGCGUCUCCGAAGAGCUCGUCCAUGGAAGGUAGGAAGGAGC